Molecule: ribosomal RNA, 140 nt
Filed under: uncultured bacterium
Lineage: Bacteria
Description: partial 16S ribosomal RNA
Rfam family: Bacterial small subunit ribosomal RNA
Source: RNAcentral
UGGGGAAUAUUGGGCAAUGGGCGCAAGCCUGACCCAGCAACGCCGCGUGAAGGAAGAAGGCUUUCGGGUUGUAAACUUCUUUUAAGUAGGGAAGAGUAGAAGACGGUACCUCUUGAAUAAGCCACGGCUAACUACGUGCC